This 253-nucleotide ribosomal RNA is filed under the name uncultured bacterium. RNAcentral's name for it is "partial 16S ribosomal RNA". It matches the Rfam family "Bacterial small subunit ribosomal RNA", at positions 524 to 776 of the family's 1533-position model. The record is from RNAcentral.
UACGUAGGGUGCGAGCGUUAAUCGGAAUUACUGGGCGUAAAGCGUGCGCAGGCGGUUCGUUGUGUCUGUGGUGAAAGCCCCGGGCUUAACCUGGGAAUGGCCAUGGAAACUGGCGAGCUGGAGUCUGGCAGAGGGGGGUGGAAUUCCGCGUGUAGCAGUGAAAUGCGUAGAGAUGCGGAGGAACACCGAUGGCGAAGGCAGCCCCCUGGGCUAAGACUGACGCUCAGGCACGAAAGCGUGGGGAGCAAACAGG